This 87-nucleotide transfer RNA is filed under the name Ruminococcaceae bacterium FB2012. RNAcentral describes it as "tRNA_Tyr_GTA". It matches the Rfam family "tRNA". Rfam says of the family: Transfer RNA (tRNA) molecules are approximately 80 nucleotides in length. Their secondary structure includes four short double-helical elements and three loops (D, anti-codon, and T loops). Further hydrogen bonds mediate the characteristic L-shaped molecular structure. tRNAs have two regions of fundamental functional importance: the anti-codon, which is responsible for specific mRNA codon recognition, and the 3' end, to which the tRNAs corresponding amino acid is attached (by aminoacyl-tRNA synthetases). tRNAs cope with the degeneracy of the genetic code in two manners: having more than one tRNA (with a specific anti-codon) for a particular amino acid; and 'wobble' base-pairing, i.e. permitting non-standard base-pairing at the 3rd anti-codon position. The record is from RNAcentral. Lineage: Bacteria; Bacillati; Bacillota; Clostridia; Eubacteriales; Oscillospiraceae.
GGGCAGGUGCGCCGAAUCGGUGAAGGCAGCGGUCUGUAAAACCGUGACAUUGAAACGUUGUUGGUUCGAAUCCAACCCUACCCACCA